Molecule: non-coding RNA, 26 nt
Filed under: Homo sapiens (human)
Lineage: Eukaryota; Metazoa; Chordata; Mammalia; Primates; Hominidae
Source: RNAcentral
UGGGCGACUAUUUGAAGGGCAUGAUU